UUAUAUGUAGGUAGUAAAAGUCCAAAAAAUGAAAUCUAGAUAAAAAAAAAGAAAAGCUUUAUAACUGAGCAGAGGUGCUGUUACUAGAACUGAGCAGAGGUGCUGUUACUAGAACUGAGCAGGUGCUGUUACUAGAACUGAGCAGAGGUGCUGUUACUAGAACUGAGCAGAGGUGCUGUUACUAGAACUGAGAAGAGGUGCUGUUACUAGAACUGAGAAGAGGUGCUGUUACUAGAACUGAGAAGAGGUGCUGUUACUAGAACUGAGCAGAGGUGCUGUUACUAGAACUGAGCAGAGGUGCUGUUACUAGAACUGAGCAGAGGUGCUGUUACUAGAACUGAGCAGGUGCUGUUACUAGAACUGAGCAGAGGUGCUGUUACUAGAACUGAGCAGAGGUGCUGUUACUAGAACUGAGAAGAGGUGCUGUUACUAGAACUGAGCAGAGGUGCUGUUACUAGAACUGAGCAGGUGCUGUUACUAGAACUGAGCAGAGGUGCUGUUACUAGAACUGAGCAGGUGCUGUUACUAGAACUGAGCAGAGGUGCUGUUACUAGAACUGAGCAGGUGCUCUUACUAGAACUGAGCAGGUGCUGUUACUAGAACUGAGCAGAGGUGCUGUUACUAGAACUGAGAAGAGGUGCUGUUACUAGAACUGAGCAGAGGUGCUGUUACUAGAACUGAGCAGAGGUGCUGUUACUAGAACUGAGCAGGUGCUGUUACUAGAACUGAGCAGAGGUGCUGUUACUAGAACUGAGCAGAGGUGCUGUUACUAGAACUGAGCAGAGGUGCUGUUACUAGAACUGAGCAGGUGCUGUUACUAGAACUGAGCAGGUGCUGUUACUAGAACUGAGAAGAGGUGCUGUUACUAGAACUGAGCAGAGGUGCUGUUACUAGAACUGAGCAGGUGCUGUUACUAGAACUGAGCAGAGGUGCUGUUACUAGAACUGAGCAGAGGUGCUGUUACUAGAACUGAGCAGAGGUGCUGUUACUAGAACUGAGCAGAGGUGCUGUUACUAGAACUGAGAAGAGGUGCUGUUACUAGAACUGAGCAGAGGUGCUGUUACUAGAACUGAGCAGAGGUGCUGUUACUAGAACUGAGCAGAGGUGCUGUUACUAGAACUGAGCAGGUGCUGUUACUAGAACUGAGCAGAGGUGCUGUUACUAGAACUGAGCAGAGGUGCUGUUACUAGAACUGAGCAGAGGUGCUGUUACUAGAACUGAGAAGAGGUGCUGUUACUAGAACUGAGCAGAGGUGCUGUUACUAGAACUGAGCAGAGGUGCUGUUACUAGAACUGAGCAGAGGUGCUGUUACUAGAACUGAGCAGAGGUGCUGUUACUAGAACUGAGCAGGUGCUGUUACUAGAACUGAGCAGAGGUGCUGUUACUAGAACUGAGCAGAGGUGCUGUUACUAGAACUGAGCAGAGGUGCUCUUACUAGAACUGAGCAGGUGCUGUUACGAGAACUGAGCAGGUGCUGUUACUAGAACUGAGAAGAGGUGCUGUUACUAGAACUGAGCAGAGGUGCUGUUACUAGAACUGAGCAGGUGCUGUUACUAGAACUGAGAAGAGGUGCUGUUACUAGAACUGAGCAGAGGUGCUGUUACUAGAACUGAGCAGGUGCUGUUACUAGAACUGAGCAGGUGCUGUUACUAGAACUGAGAAGAGGUGCUGUUACUAGAACUGAGCAGAGGUGCUGUUACUAGAACUGAGCAGGUGCUGUUACUAGAACUGAGCAGAGGUGCUGUUACUAGAACUGAGCAGAGGUGCUGUUACUAGAACUGAGCAGAGGUGCUGUUACUAGAACUGAGCAGAGGUGCUGUUACUAGAACUGAGCAGGUGCUGUUACUAGAACUGAGCAGAGGUGCUGUUACUAGAACUGAGCAGGUGCUGCUUCUAGAACUGAGCAGGUGCUGCGUCGUACUGAUCCAGAGAGGGAGAUGCGCUGUAUGCCGUAUGCCUGUCUAAAUCAACAUUGUUUUUCCUCAUCAUCACAAAGCUGAUAAUCUAGUCCACCCUAGGGUCUAAAGUUGUGCACUACUACCCUAUAGACCCUGGUCUAAAGUAGUGUACGACUUCCCUAUAGACCCUGGUCUAAAGUAGUGCACUACUACCCUAUAGACCCUGG
Molecule: long non-coding RNA, 2125 nt
Organism: Oncorhynchus keta (chum salmon)
Lineage: Eukaryota; Metazoa; Chordata; Actinopteri; Salmoniformes; Salmonidae
Exons: 8
Source: RefSeq, a predicted model, not a curated record